UACGGGGGGGGCAAGCGUUGUUCGGAAUUACUGGGCGUAAAGGGCUCGUAGGUGGCCAACUAAGUCAGACGUGAAAUCCCUCGGCUUAACCGGGGAACUGCGUCUGAUACUGGAUGGAUUGAGUUCGGGAGAGGGAUGCGGAAUUCCAGGUGUAGCGGUGAAAUGCGUAGAUAUCUGGAGGAACACCGGUGGCGAAGGCGACAUCCUGGACCGGUAUUGACGCUGAGGCGCGAAAGCCAGGGGAGCAAACGGG
RNAcentral lists this ribosomal RNA (253 nucleotides) under uncultured bacterium. Its description in RNAcentral is "partial 16S ribosomal RNA". It matches the Rfam family "Bacterial small subunit ribosomal RNA", at positions 524 to 776 of the family's 1533-position model. The record is from RNAcentral.